UCAAUACAAGGAUAUCAUUAUCACAUUUAAAACUAUCACAAUGAACGGUGAUUCGUCGCAGCAAGGUACCACAAAUAAGAUAUCUCAAUCUAAAGAGGAGGAGAGUCAUACUUCGGAACGUAAUCGGGACAUAUUGUACCUUAAUGUGAUUAUUAUUGUGAUUAUUGUGAUUAGUGUGAUUAUUUGGUACACAAUGGAUAUGUUGGCAUUAGCGAUGUAUUAAUCCGGGAAGCUCGUCUAUCUCGGAAAUAUCGAGUCUGCGACAACGUCAAUUUGGAAAUUAUUCUUAGAGAAUAUGAAAAUUAUUACAAGAUGAAAUUCCAAAAAUAUCCUAUAUUGUGUAAGAAAAUAACUGAAAAGGAAAUAAAGACGAGGGAAAUGACAAAUGCGAACAAAGU
Molecule: unclassified non-coding RNA, 398 nt
Filed under: Bombus terrestris (buff-tailed bumblebee)
Lineage: Eukaryota; Metazoa; Arthropoda; Insecta; Hymenoptera; Apidae
Description: misc RNA ENSBTSG00005032415.1
Source: RNAcentral